AUCCUUUUGUAGUUCAUAAGCAUGAUUAUUGGUUUUUCACACUCAUGCAUGAGAUGUGCCUCCCUCAAACCUUGUUACUAUCAGCAUAUUACCUGCCUCACA
This is a small nucleolar RNA of Callithrix jacchus (white-tufted-ear marmoset), 102 nucleotides long. The record is from Ensembl. Lineage: Eukaryota; Metazoa; Chordata; Mammalia; Primates; Cebidae.